CCUGUGGGAUCUCCUCUUUCCUGGGGGAUCCACUCUCAAUUCCCACUGGAUCCCCCAUUUCCAGGGGAUCUGGGCUUGUGGGAUCCCCCCUUUCCCAGGGGAUCCACUCUCAAUUCCCGCAGGAUCCCCCAGGAUCGAUCCCAGCAGGAUCCCCACUCCCAGGAUUCCUGGGAUCUCCGUUCCUGGGGUAGAUCGCAGCAGAUCCUGGGGGGAUCCCAGUGGAUCCAGCGGCAUUGCCACUCCUGGGAUCCCCUGGAUCCCUGGGAUCCCCAUCCCAGCAGGAUUCCCAGGAUCUCAGGGAUCCCCGCUCUCGUCAUCAGUCCCAGGAGAUCCCAGCAGAUCCCAAGUGGAUCCAGCAGGAUCCCCUGUCAGUCCCAUCAGCUCCCAGCCAAUACUGGGUGGAUCCCAUCAGAUCCCAGUGGAUCCAGCAGGAUUUCCAGGAUCCCCAUUCUUGCUGUAACAGUCCCAGAGGAUCCCAUCAGAUCCCAGCGGAUCCAGCAGGAUAUCCAGGAUCCCCGUUCUUGCUGUCAGCCCCAGUGGAUCCCAGCAGAUCCCAGUUAUUGCUGUCA
RNAcentral lists this long non-coding RNA (569 nucleotides) under Zonotrichia albicollis (white-throated sparrow). RNAcentral describes it as "lncRNA (ENSZALG00000000492.1)". The record is from RNAcentral. Lineage: Eukaryota; Metazoa; Chordata; Aves; Passeriformes; Passerellidae.